This 443-nucleotide ribosomal RNA is filed under the name uncultured soil bacterium. RNAcentral describes it as "bacterial SSU rRNA". It matches the Rfam family "Bacterial small subunit ribosomal RNA", at positions 26 to 518 of the family's 1533-position model. The record is from RNAcentral.
AGAACGAACGCUGGCGGCAUGCCUAACACAUGCAAGUCGAACGAGAUCUUCGGGUCUAGUGGCGCACGGGUGCGUAACGCGUGGGAAUCUGCCCUUUGGUUCGGAAUAACAGUUGGAAACGACUGCUAAUACCGGAUGAUGACGAAAGUCCAAAGAUUUAUCGCCAGAGGAUGAGCCCGCGUAGGAUUAGCUAGUUGGUGUGGUAAAGGCGCACCAAGGCGACGAUCCUUAGCUGGUCUGAGAGGAUGAUCAGCCACACUGGGACUGAGACACGGCCCAGACUCCUACGGGAGGCAGCAGUGGGGAAUAUUGGACAAUGGGCGAAAGCCUGAUCCAGCAAUGCCGCGUGAGUGAUGAAGGCCGUUAGGGUUGUAAAGCUCUUUUACCCGGAUGAUAAUGACAGUACGGAGAAUAAGCUCCGCUAACUCCGUGCCAGCAGCCGC